RNAcentral lists this long non-coding RNA (299 nucleotides) under Daucus carota (carrot). RNAcentral's name for it is "long non-coding RNA (DCAR_LNC004311)". The record is from RNAcentral. Lineage: Eukaryota; Viridiplantae; Streptophyta; Magnoliopsida; Apiales; Apiaceae.
GUGGUAGUUCAGGUUUUGUAAAAGUUGGUAACUCGGGUUUUGGCAGAGUUGGGACAUGAGGCAACGGCGGAAGUUCCAUCUUAGGCAAUUGUGGGAGUUCAGGUUUUGGAAGUUCAACCUUUGGCAGUGAUGGUAAUUCAGGUUUCGGAAGUUCAACCUUUGGCAGUGAUGGUAAUUCAGGUUUCGGAAGCUCAGGCAAGGUUGUCUCAGAGAGGCGGCGAGCCUCCACUUCUGUGCUACACAUUGAUGUCAGUGUGACAACUAAGAGCAGUAAAAGAGUUAAUGAAUAGUAUGUGCUA